GCAAUGGCUGAGAAUGGCAAUGGAGAGUUUCACUCUCAGAGGAGGAUUUUGUUCUUCAGUUCUGGAGUGAUCUCUAUCACCAGUGACUAAAGAUGUUGGAGCACAGAAAGCCAUACCCCAAAAUAUGAUGCUUCGGCAUGCUGAGUGCUUUGAAAAUUGAAGGGCCUCAGAAAUAAUCCUCAGUGCCAGGGUCUCCCUCUGACCUCCCCCUACCUCCCUUUCUCUCUGAUCCUGUCUCUCCCAAAGCACAGAAUGAAGCUGUUCUCUGAAGUUCCCUUAUCUACCUAGAAACUGGACCCCCAGAGAGGAACACAAUUUGCCUUUGAUCCCUUCCCUGAAAUUUCAUUAACCAGAGAAAAUUAAAACUUCUAUCACAAAGGAAGAGACUGAACAUUAAACACCAUAGCUACAGCCCAGACAAACUUCUUCCCAAACCAUUGUUUGUUCUCCCGCCUGUUAAAUUGCCAGAGAAUUAUUCACAAGAUAAAGUCUGCCUUCUGGGUCCAUUCAUUCCCCACUAAAAAUCUUUUACUCCUACACCCUCAUGUCUCCUUCCUCCAUGAAGAAGGGUCUAUAAACCUCUAGGCCUCAUUGGGUUAUUGGGUAAUCCUUCUCAUGCAGUUCCCCUGUGCUCUGCAUGUUAAAUAAAUUUGUAUGCCUUUUUCUCCUA
This 670-nucleotide long non-coding RNA is filed under the name Pongo abelii (Sumatran orangutan). RNAcentral describes it as "lincRNA". Lineage: Eukaryota; Metazoa; Chordata; Mammalia; Primates; Hominidae. The record is from RNAcentral.